Molecule: ribosomal RNA, 317 nt
Filed under: uncultured Pseudomonadota bacterium
Lineage: Bacteria; Pseudomonadati; Pseudomonadota
Description: bacterial SSU rRNA
Rfam family: Bacterial small subunit ribosomal RNA
Source: RNAcentral
AGUGAACGCUGGCGGCGUGCCUAAUACAUGCAAGUCGAACGCGAAAGUCCUUCGGGAUGAGUAAAGUGGCGCACGGGUGAGUAAUACAUGGGAACAUGCCCUCGAAUGGGGAAUAACGUUUGGAAACGAACGCUAAUACCGCAUAAUCUCGCAAGAGUAAAGGUGGCGCCGCAAGGGCUACCGUUCGAGGAUUGGCCCAUGUCCCAUUAGCUAGUUGGCGGGGUAAUGGCCCACCAAGGCAACGAUGGGUAACUGGUCUGAGAGGAUGAUCAGUCACACUGGAACUGAGACACGGUCCAGACUCCUACGGGUGGCUG